AUGAAUGUAGCAAGAUGUUGGAAAUAACUAGUUUUGGUAGUUUGGAAGUGAUCAUCUUUUGGUCAAAUUUGUAUGGUAUCUGUUACUUGGGAAAAUGGUCAUUUGGUAUUGGUUGUGUAUGCAUUUUGGUAUAUGAAGAUAUGGAUAAAAGUGGCUUUGUAAUUGUUCAAUUGGUACAUUUAGUGAAUGAAAUGGUUAGGUGUUAG
Molecule: long non-coding RNA, 206 nt
Filed under: Gossypium barbadense (sea-island cotton)
Lineage: Eukaryota; Viridiplantae; Streptophyta; Magnoliopsida; Malvales; Malvaceae
Description: long non-coding RNA (GBAR_LNC014294)
Source: RNAcentral